This 536-nucleotide long non-coding RNA is filed under the name Aquilegia coerulea. RNAcentral describes it as "long non-coding RNA (ACOE_LNC001865)". Lineage: Eukaryota; Viridiplantae; Streptophyta; Magnoliopsida; Ranunculales; Ranunculaceae. The record is from RNAcentral.
UCCACGAAAAAGGUUGUAACAAACUACAAUUCAUUGUAUUACAAAUUCAACGUCCUGUAGUACAUAAAAAGGUUGUAACAAACUACAAUUCAUUGUAUUACAAAUUCAACAUCCUGUAGUACAUAACAAAAUUAACGACGAUUGUAGUCAUCCCAUAUCUCAUUUGCAAUGACAUCUCUCACUGUAGCCAUCUGGUUUUGUUGGGACAUAUCCAUUUCAAUACCUUCUUGUACCACAUCAAAAGCUAACUCAUCCUUAACAACUAAUCCUUCCCUUUCAUACAUGGUAAACAAUGUAUCAACUCUAUCCUCCACUCUAAUAAAAUUAUGUAGAGUACAACAUGCUAUUGGAAUUAACUUUCGUCAUCUAAGAAGAUAAUUAGGUAUUGAUUAAAAUGAGAAAUCUUGCUUUCAAUGCACAAAAAGCCCUUUCUAUCACAUUGCGCAAGGUCGAAUGUCGGUGGUUGAAUAACUCACACUUUCUUGUGAUUUGUCGUUGCAUUUGGUCAUCAUGGAAGUGAUACCGCUCGCCACGGU